This is a long non-coding RNA of Pocillopora verrucosa, 628 nucleotides long. RefSeq lists it as uncharacterized. Lineage: Eukaryota; Metazoa; Cnidaria; Anthozoa; Scleractinia; Pocilloporidae. The record is from RefSeq and is a predicted model, not a curated record.
ACGGAUGUUAUCAAAGCAAAUUACGUAGUACCAUUUGGGGGCAAUUUUCACCCUUUUAAACUGUCUAAUGUGCUUAGACGAACCACAUUACUAGUAGCACUGGCCAUAUAAGCAGCUCAAUAGGAUUGCGGAGUUGCAUUCAGAUCAACGGGAUUUAACAAGAACACAAUUUAUCAGACAUAUUUCCCGCCAACCAAAAAGAUGGAAACCAAGAGCCUCGUAGCCUUGUUUCUUGUUUCGUGCAUUUUUGUCUCUGUCUGUUUUCAACCCGCCGCCUCUCAAGGUCUUCGAUGGGGAAGAGAAUAUGAAGAGGAAGAAGAAAACCAUCGAGUGAAUCCAGUGAAAGCCGAUUAUCUCAGGCGCAAAGAGAUGCACAGAACAUUUGAAGAUGCCGCAGAUGAGGCCAACUUUGAUUAUAACAGACGCUGAGUUCUAUUGGAAUAUCCUACACACCCAAACGGACUGGACUGGACAUUUGAUUGAAUCACUGAGCUUUCGUAGCCCGUUACUAUGGGAAAAUUUACUUUUAAUUGAUGCAUAAUUAUUAUUUAGUAGAGGAGAUAAGUUAAGCUUGUAAAAUGAAAUCAUACAGCAAUAAAACGCAAUCUGAACGAUGUCAGAAUAAAAA